This 389-nucleotide ribosomal RNA is filed under the name uncultured bacterium. RNAcentral's name for it is "bacterial SSU rRNA". It matches the Rfam family "Bacterial small subunit ribosomal RNA", at positions 102 to 504 of the family's 1533-position model. The record is from RNAcentral.
ACGGGUGAGUAACACGUGAGCAACCUGCCCUUCAGUGGGGGACAACAGUUGGAAACGACUGCUAAUACCGCAUAAGACCACAGUACCGCAUGGUACCGUGAUCAAAGGAUUUAUUCGCUGAAGGAUGGACUCGCGCCUGAUUAGCUAGAUGGUGAGGUAACGGCCCACCAUGGCAACGAUCAGUAGCCGGACUGAGAGGUUGAUCGGCCACAUUGGGACUGAGACACGGCCCAGACUCCUACGGGAGGCAGCAGUGGGGGAUAUUGCACAAUGGAGGAAACUCUGAUGCAGCGACGCCGCGUGAGGGAAGAAGGUUUUCGGAUUGUAAACCUCUGUCUUCGGGGACGAAACAAAUGACGGUACUCGAGGAGGAAGCCACGGCUAACUAC